UACGUAGGGUGCAAGCGUUGUCCGGAAUUAUUGGGCGUAAAGAGCUCGUAGGCGGUCUGUCGCGUCUGCUGUGAAAACUCGGGGCUUAACCCCGGGCCUGCAGUGGGUACGGGCAGACUAGAGUGCGGUAGGGGAGACUGGAAUUCCUGGUGUAGCGGUGAAAUGCGCAGAUAUCAGGAGGAACACCGGUGGCGAAGGCGGGUCUCUGGGCCUGACCUGACGCUGAGGAGCGAAAGCGUGGGGAGCAAACAGG
RNAcentral lists this ribosomal RNA (253 nucleotides) under uncultured bacterium. RNAcentral's name for it is "partial 16S ribosomal RNA". It matches the Rfam family "Bacterial small subunit ribosomal RNA", at positions 524 to 776 of the family's 1533-position model. The record is from RNAcentral.